Molecule: ribosomal RNA, 292 nt
Filed under: uncultured bacterium
Lineage: Bacteria
Description: partial 16S ribosomal RNA
Rfam family: Bacterial small subunit ribosomal RNA
Source: RNAcentral
GUGUCAGCAGCCGCGGUAAUACGUAGGGUGCGAGCGUUGUCCGGAAUUAUUGGGCGUAAAGGGCUCGUAGGCGGUUUGUCGCGUCGGGAGUGAAAACACACAGCUUAACUGUGUGCUGGCUUCCGAUACGGGCAGACUAGAGGUAUGCAGGGGAGAACGGAAUUCCUGGUGUAGCGGUGAAAUGCGCAGAUAUCAGGAGGAACACCGGUGGCGAAGGCGGUUCUCUGGGCAUUACCUGACGCUGAGGAGCGAAAGUGUGGGGAGCGAACAGGAUUAGAUACCCCCGUAGUCC